This 5687-nucleotide long non-coding RNA is filed under the name Arabidopsis lyrata. RNAcentral describes it as "long non-coding RNA (ALYR_LNC003134)". The record is from RNAcentral. Lineage: Eukaryota; Viridiplantae; Streptophyta; Magnoliopsida; Brassicales; Brassicaceae.
UUUACUGAAGAUUUAUCAUCAUCAUCUUCGAGUUCGAAACUUCAGUAUGGCUUUAUUAAUGUUCUUUUUCAUUUUUCAACAAAAUAAUAAAUUAAACAAAAAUGAUGCGGCCCAUUUGUUCCUCAUGUUUGUGGUCUUACAAAAUUCAGGGUCGACACUGGCACUAUAGCCUUUGUUUCUGUUGAGGAUUCUUCGCCGACCUUAGACAGCCCUCAAGCUUUAUGCUAUGUCACACACACACCAAACAUCAUAACAGACCAAGCAAUAUAGAGAGAAAGAAGAAGAUAAAACAGAGCAGAGAAGAGGGAAGAAGAGAAGCACACAAACGAUUGUUCACCCUGAGUUCACCAAGUUGGCUACAUCUCAGGGGAGGGAGACUGUCCCCCAACUGCAUCCACUAAUAGAAGAAGAUAACAGAGAUUACAAGUGAUUCACUCUCAAGACUCACUCGUCGGCCACUCUCUGUUCUACUUGAGAAAAUCCCACCCAAAGCUUAAGCCUUUACAUGUUUUCUCUCACCCUUCUAUCUCCUAGAGCUACAUUGUGUCUAUCUUCUUGUGGCUUCCUAUCUCUCAUGUCUUCAUAUCACUUUAUAUAUGGGAGACAACCUCAAACCCUAGUGCAGCUAGCAAACGAGUCCUCAUCUUAUUCACAAGAGGACAAAGUAUCCUUCUUGACCAUGAAUUCAAAUGAUCCUCCUUGUGGUCCCAAAAGCUCUUCUAACUUUAGUUAAUAUAAUCAACCUUGGUUAGGACUUGAGUUUACCUUUGGUUUGCACAUGAUCCUUGUUUGGUUGCUCAUCAAGUUCUCAUAUCUUCACAAAUCUCCACCUGAGAACAUGAUGAUCAAAACCAAGCAACCUGCACAAACUUGAGAGAGUACCUUCUUCUACUUUCUUGGAUCCCAAUCUCGGCUCUUGAGUAUCAUUACUCUGCCUUGAUACUUAGCAGUUUAAAAUGCCAUAAACUUGCUUGAUCCUCGCUGCAUUUAGCUUACGUUCAAUGCACUUCAGCUGUGACUACUCACAUUGCUGAACCUGAGCCAUCAACACAUCCUUAGAUCACCAGAGUUGUGAAAACCAGCUUCAUACAAACUUGUAUUAAGCUCAACUCUUCAGUGAUCACUUCAUGAUACAUUCAACACUUGAAUUAUGAUGUUACCACUCAGCAAAAAUUUAUUAACAAGUCAAGAAAACACCUCCAGCUUGUCAAUCUCAACAGAAAACUCCAUAAGCUCCACCACCUAUGAGCUGUUCAAUCACACAUUCUCCACCACGGCUUCUGUUAAUGCCAUAAGCAUGUUACAGUGAUUGAAGUACCACUUAUCCCUCUGCAAAACCUGAUUCCCUUGCUAAAGCUUCUAGGAUUUACUCAUGCGCAUUGAGAUCAAAAUCCUUUGAAUUCACUUGAAUCAAUUGCAGAAAACUGAAUCAACUUAGCCUCAGACUUGAAGCUCUUGAUUCACCAGGUGAACAGCCUCACCAACCAGCUAAAUAUACACUAUAUAGCUAUAGACUGAACCUUUCACCUCCUGUUUAAACAACCCAGUCUUGAACAUAAACCUUGAUCAAACUCUCUGUUAAAACAGAACCACCACCAGCAGAUUUUAACCACUACUAGUUAUCUUUACACCUGUCUCAUAUCAGCAAAACCUUGUGAUAUCCCUGAGACAAACAUGUACAGCUACUUCUGCACCAAAUCUAGAACCCUUGGUGCCCUUCCAGUUGUAACCACAGACCUGCAAAACCUGCAGAACUCCACCAAACGACUUGAACCUUACCUCAUUCAAUUUCAAGACUUAAGCCAAAGCCUUUCCCUUCUUUAUCAUCAAUACUUGAAGAUACUUUACUUGAAUGACCUGCAAGCGUCUGGUCAAAUGCAAUUUGAAUUUCCUGCAUUUGCGUCUCUUCUAAGACUCCAUUUCAGUUGCUAACACCAGCCUUGAGAUGAGUUGUUUAUCAAGCUUGAUACACAACACUUUCACAGUCUUGAAGUGAAUAGCCUUGAGACAGCUCCUGCAACACUUGCAAUUGUCUCUUUCAGUUUCCUCCUUAGAGAAUUCCCCUGAACCACUUCAUUUUCUUCAUCUCACACCUUAGUGUCUUCUCUGAAAUUUUCAGAAAAAAACCUGCAACUCACUUUCAGAAAAUCCACAGUUCACAACUUGAAACCUGCAACUUGUUUCUGAAAUCCUUACCAAUCAGCCAGCUUCAAACCAAAUAUGUAAGACCCUUUUUUUACCUUCAGAUUAUAACCCAAUCUGAGCUGAACACCUGUUGAUAACCACCUGUUCUUGGCUUUCCCUUCUUCUUGAUACAAUGAACUUCCAUGAACCUUAAACAACAGUGAUAUCCAGCCUUUUAACUCCAUGCUACUGAGCUAAACACCCAGACAACCUCCACAAAUAGCUCCACCAGGAACCAUAACCAUUUGAGUUACAAUGUCUAUGUAAGCUCAGCCUCACUUCUCUGAGUUAAACUGUUCUUCUGUUCACUCACACUUUCUUAUGUAUUAGAGUGAGUUCCCAUGGCCUCUUUCUUGAGAAAACCGUACUAUAACUUGUAGCACAUCUUCUUCUUCAUGUAACCACUCCAUCUUAUUCAUAUGUACCCAAAGAACCACCAAGAACCUUCUUUUAUUUCCAGCAGCCUUGUCAUCUCUACUUGGAGCAUUCUUCAUAAUCUAAUAGUGCAACAACUUAAGCUGAUACGCCAUCAAAUCAUACCUCCAUCCUAGAAAACCAAAUCUUGUACUCUUCUUUAGCAAAAUCAACAUAUACAUAUCUUGCAUCGCUGUUCAAAUGAAUAGAACACGCCGCCUAACUCUCCUAGCUAGGAAGAAUUUCGACACGAGAAAAUAAUACGGUCAAUUGCGUACCAUCAUAUACUUCUUUUGUCGCUUGAAGAUCUGAUUCAAAACACAAGAUAACCACUGAGAAUUAAAUGCUCCACCCGAGAUAAGAACUCCUUGUUCUCUUACAUUCAUUCCAACAGAAUCAUCAUGUGUUAUACCAAACACAAAUCUGUAGAAUUUAUGAAUCUUUGCUACUGCCAUCUUGUCUCGAAAACAAGAACUCUUACGCUAUCCAGCUUACACCAAACAGUAGAUUUCCGGAGCCACACUGCAUUCCCUCUGAAAAUAGCAGCCUUGUAGCUUCACGAUCUCUAAAGAUCCACCAACUGAAGACUUUUAGAUUCACAAGAAUCUAACCAUUACCACUGAGACAGAACUCUGCAACAAAUCAUCACCCAAACUCAACCAACCACUGAAGUCUUGUCUUUAGAACUGAAUCCAGAAAACCCUUUUACAAAUACCCCACAGCCUAAUACUCAUAAAAAUUUCCAAGCUUCUAAGGCGUCCCUCAGUCCCAUGGAAUUCUAUGAGUUUCCGAGGCUGUGGUAACACUAGUAUUCGAAUACCAACUGUAAAAGACUGUACCAACCAGAUUCAAAACUCCAUGAAAAAACCAGCAUGAAACCCAAUACUGAAUCUUUUCAAUCUCUUGCGAUAACAGUGGAACGAGACUUGAAGCCUCCAAAUUUUGAGUCUUGAGAAAUAAGAAUGAUUCUGAUCCAAAGAUUGUAGUCAAAGAAAUCCGACUUACACGUUUCAAGGAUCUUAAUCAAACUUCAGCCGAUGAUGUUACUGUCUCUCUUCCUUUCCAAACAAGAGUAAACGAAGACACAAACUUGUGGCAUCGUCUUUCUUACUCACUGUAACCUCCAAUUUCUUUACAGAAAAUCAGAAUUUCUGGAUUUACCGGAAGAUAUCCGAGCCUUGCAAGCUCCAGUCUUCAAAUUUCUUUAGCUAAUUUGAGCUCCUUUCUUCUCGAGAACACUUUCUUCUUCAAUCGUCACUUCCUCCUCCGACGAGAAUCUCGAUAUGGUUUACCGAUCCAUCUUCGACUUCAUCGCCGAACCUAAUCGCUCCCAGUCAUAAAACCUCAACUUACGAUUUGACGAUUGCUUAUGUCGUGACUGUCUCUUAGCUUCAGCUUCAACACUUCCGAGAAAGAAGCAUCAAGAGAAACGUACCAUUGUUUCUCUUUCUGACUUUUGGGCAUUUAUGAACUUAGCCCAAAAAACAAAAUAUUCAUUAAUGGGAGGACAGGCCCAUCUUGGCCCAACUGAAGAAAGAAAAAAGAAUUUGUCGUGACCCAUCUUUUCUCUUCUUCUCACCGUCGCUCACCAUCAAACUUUCUCCGGUGAGAAUCUCGGUGCUCUCCGGUGACGCCUUGGUCACCACACCUCCGCGACUCUCUCUCACCGCGUGUCUCUUCCUCGACAGCGAAACCCGAAGCUUCUUCUCCGACUCGUUCUGCUUAUGACAGUGCCGUCUGCUCUUUCACGACGUCAUCGGAAGCUCGAGCCACUCCACCGUAAUCUCAGCCUUCUCCGGUAAGAAUCUCCACACUGUCUCUGUCAUCGAACUCUCUGAGAAUCACCUGAGCUCGUGACAAACAUCCUCUGUUAGCAUCCGAGAUUUCAACAGAAAUCUCUAUCUUCCUCCAUCUUCUCUCUCAAUGCUUCAGCAGAUCUAGUUCUUCUUAGAUGGACAAGACACGCCGUCUUCUUAUGAGAUAUAAUCUCUAAAUCCAUCGUUCUUCUCUAGAGCUGCACUUCCCGAAGCCAUUGCUUAUAAAGGUGUGAUCUUUCUUGACAAAGCUUACAUUUUCCUUGUAAAGCUUGAAUCUUUCUCACCGAAACUUGAAGAUUCUGGAUAAAGCUUGAGUCUUUCAGCACUAACCUGUGCUCUGAUACCAUUUGUUAAGGAUUCUUCGCCGACCUUAGACAGCCCUCAAGCUUUAUGCUAUGUCACACACACACCAAACAUCAUAACAGACCAAGCAAUAUAGAGAGAAAGAAGAAGAUAAAACAGAGCAGAGAAGAGGGAAGAAGAGAAGCACACAAACGAUUGUUCACCCUGAGUUCACCAAGUUGGCUACAUCUCAGGGGAGGGAGACUGUCCCCCAACUGCAUCCACUAAUAGAAGAAGAUAACAGAGAUUACAAGUGAUUCACUCUCAAGACUCACUCGUCGGCCACUCUCUGUUCUACUUGAGAAAAUCCCACCCAAAGCUUAAGCCUUUACAUGUUUUCUCUCACCCUUCUAUCUCCUAGAGCUACAUUGUGUCUAUCUUCUUGUGGCUUCCUAUCUCUCAUGUCUUCAUAUCACUUUAUAUAUGGGAGACAACCUCAAACCCUAGUGCAGCUAGCAAACGAGUCCUCAUCUUAUUCACAAGAGGACAAAGUAUCCUUCUUGACCAUGAAUUCAAAUGAUCCUCCUUGUGGUCCCAAAAGCUCUUCUAACUUUAGUUAAUAUAAUCAACCUUGGUUAGGACUUGAGUUUACCUUUGGUUUGCACAUGAUCCUUGUUUGGUUGCUCAUCAAGUUCUCAUAUCUUCACAGUUUCAAUUAUGUUCGAUUAGGUAGAGACUUUGCCAUAAACAGUUGAUCCAAAACCUUGAACAUACCUAAGGUUGGCUUAUCCUUUAUGAUUUUUUUUAUGAAGUUGCACUCCAAAACUUAAUAUGAUGGUAACUCUAGACUUUCAUUGCUUCUUCUUUAGAGCUUAAUUUGUCUUCUUUUUUUACUUGAUGUGUCCCUUGUCAUGUCUUAGCCAUCUAGAGUCUUCUGAGUUAACUCUUUGCUUUGUCUUGCGUUUAAUUUUUUUUUCUCUUUUCUUGUAC